RNAcentral lists this ribosomal RNA (719 nucleotides) under Halobacillus salinus. RNAcentral describes it as "bacterial SSU rRNA". It matches the Rfam family "Bacterial small subunit ribosomal RNA", at positions 57 to 742 of the family's 1533-position model. The record is from RNAcentral. Lineage: Bacteria; Bacillati; Bacillota; Bacilli; Caryophanales; Bacillaceae.
GCAGUCGAGCGCAGGAAGCGAGCUGAUCCCCUUCGGGGGUGACGCUCGUGGAAUGAGCGGCGGACGGGUGAGUAACACGUGGGCAACCUGCCUGUAAGAUCGGAAUAACUCCGGGAAACCGGAGCUAAUGCCGGGUAAUAUGUUCCUUCGCAUGAAGGAACAUUAAAAGAUGGCUUCUCGCUAUCACUUACAGAUGGGCCCGCGGCGCAUUAGCUAGUUGGUGAGGUAACGGCUCACCAAGGCAACGAUGCGUAGCCGACCUGAGAGGGUGAUCGGCCACACUGGGACUGAGACACGGCCCAGACUCCUACGGGAGGCAGCAGUAGGGAAUCUUCCGCAAUGGACGAAAGUCUGACGGAGCAACGCCGCGUGAACGAUGAAGGUCUUCGGAUCGUAAAGUUCUGUUGUUAGGGAAGAACAAGUACCGUGCGAAUAGAGCGGUACCUUGACGGUACCUAACGAGGAAGCCCCGGCUAACUACGUGCCAGCAGCCGCGGUAAUACGUAGGGGGCAAGCGUUGUCCGGAAUUAUUGGGCGUAAAGCGCGCGCAGGCGGUUCCUUAAGUCUGAUGUGAAAGGCCACGGCUCAACCGUGGAGGGCCAUUGGAAACUGGGGAACUUGAGGACAGAAGAGGAGAGUGGAAUUCCACGUGUAGCGGUGAAAUGCGUAGAUAUGUGGAGGAACACCAGUGGCGAAGGCGACUCUCUGGUCUGUUUCUG